AACACCGCAUAAAAACACAGGAUAGCAUUAUCCAAUGUUCAAAUAUUUAUAGGAUUAAGAUGGGCAUGCGUGUCAUUAGCUAGUUGGCGGGGUAACGGCCCACCAAGGCGACGAUGACUAGGGGAUCUGAGAGGAUGGCCCCCCACACUGGUACUGAGACACGGACCAGACUCCUACGGGAGGCAGCAGUAAGGAAUAUUGGUCAAUGGAGGCAACUCUGAACCAGCCAUGCCGCGUGCAGGAAGACUGCCCUAUGGGUUGUAAACUGCUUUUAUCCGGGAAUAAACCUACUUACGUGUAAGUAGCUGAAUGUAUUUUUAUUUUAUAAGGAUCGGCUAACUCCGUGCCAGCAGCCGCGGUAAUACGGAGGAUCCAAGCGUUAUCCGGAUUUAUUGGGUUUAAAGGGUGCGUAGGCGGCCUGUUAAGUCAGGGGUGAAAGACGGUAGCUCAACUAUCGCAGUGCCCUUGAUACUGAUGGGCUUGAAUGGACUAGAGGUAGGCGGAAUGAGACAAGUAGCGGUG
RNAcentral lists this ribosomal RNA (522 nucleotides) under Pedobacter sp. Its description in RNAcentral is "bacterial SSU rRNA". It matches the Rfam family "Bacterial small subunit ribosomal RNA", at positions 165 to 683 of the family's 1533-position model. The record is from RNAcentral. Lineage: Bacteria; Pseudomonadati; Bacteroidota; Sphingobacteriia; Sphingobacteriales; Sphingobacteriaceae.